CCGCCCCACUUUAGCUUUUAUUCUUUCAUAUUUUCUUUUCCAAUACUUCCAAGGUUUUUUUUUUUUUUUUUAAGAGGUGUUUGAUAAAGAUAAGAAAAAAAUUAUUUUAAACUUACAAAAUAUUUUUUAAAAAAAAUUUAAAAGUCAAAACUUGAUUAUUAUACUUUUAACUUUCUUUUAAAUUAUAAAUCACUCAAAAAAAAAAUUCAUCCAAACACCUUUAAAUUUCUCCUUUAUUAAACUUAGUAGCAUUGCGCUAUCAUAUUGUCCUUUUAGGAAUCGUUUGGUGUGAGGUACUAAAGUAUAUAAUUCCAAAAUAAAAUAAUAAUUUUAAGAUAAAAUUUUUGAUGCGUCAUUUAAUUAUCAAUAUUCGGGAUAACUUAUUCCGAAACUAACAAAUAGUAUCGGGAUAAGUUAUCCCACACAUAUGGUGGUAUAACAAUUCCAACACAAUUUAUUCUUGAAAUAAAUUAUAAAAUAACAAAAUUACCCUCAAAUUCUUUGAUUAUCACUUUUCUCUCUUUCUAUAUAUAUAUAUUACUUUACUAUUAUAUAUAAGGGAAAAUGUGAGAUUUUAGUAGUUCUCGCAUCAAAUUUUUUUUAUCAUUUUAUCUCUAAUUUAAACUUUAAUUACUCUAUAAAUUUUUGUUCAUAUUGAUAAAUUUGAACAAUUAUAUGAGCUUAUUAAAUGCUACAAAAGUAAUGAGUUAUAAGAAAUUAAUGAUGACACCAUAAAAAUUAUUUAUACAAUCAAAUUCAAAAUUGAUGCAAGAGUUUAUUAUCUUUUUAUUUUGUAGAAAUAUUUAUUAGUCUUACUUUAAAUUUUCAUUUUUCCUAACAAAUUUAUCAUGGACAAGUAAUUAAUAUCUUUUACAUGUCCUUUCUAACUUAGUACAUGCUUAAUUAUUAAAUAAAAAAUUAUUUUUUUUAUAUAGCUAAAAAUGUUGAAUUUUUCUUUUUUAAAAUAUAGUUUAACUCUCAAAUAUGAUACUAAAUAAUGAAAAAUGAGAGUAAUUAUUUUACAUAUUUUUAAUGAUAAUUUUUUUUAACAAAUGGGAUUAUCAAUAUUUUUUAGAAUUUAGGACGAAAUAAGUAAUUUAAAAUGAAAUAUUAAAGCGUUAUACACGUUUAAAAAAUAUUAACAUAAAUUUUUUAACAUGUAUUUUUAAGAAAAAAAAACUACUAACGUUAAAAAAAAAUAGUAACUUUUUAAUUUUUUCUUGUAUCAUUUAAUAUGAAAGAAAAUAAUUGAGCUAAAUAAGGUGAAUGAUAUUUUUGUAAACAAACUAUCAAUUCUUAAAAAAGAAUGCAUUGCAUAUUAUUUUUGAUACCACAAACCAAACAAUCACUAAACAAUAAUUUUAGGAUAAUUAAUCUCAAAACAACUAAUCUCAAUAUAAUUAAUCUCAACAUAACUAAUUUCAGCAUAAUGUGUUUCCCAACUAAAUGACCCCUUACAUUAGUAGUGAAAUAAGGAAGUAAGACAGAACUAGAAGAAGGAAUCAUUUGGUUGGGAAACAAGUUUAUCGUAGAAAUACUUAUUCAGGAUUAGUUAUUUCAAAAUUAGUUAUAUCACUCCUAAUAAGAGAUAAAAAUAACACUACAAUCUCAAAAUAACUAAUUUCAGAAUGAGUUAUCUCAUGCAUUUUAUCUCAAAAAUUGUCCAAGUUAAUCAACAUUUAUCUACCACCUGUAAACCGCAAUAAAAUAAUACGAUGAUAGAAACAUCAAAACAAUAUAAUUAAAUCUAACCUUUACACAAAAAUUUUCUCAAAGUCGUCUGACACUCAUCUACUACCUGUAAACUAUAACAAAAUAAUACGAUAAUAGAAAUGUCAAAAUAAUACAACUAAACGUUACCUUUAGACAAAAAUAUUUCUCAAAACAGAAAUAUAAAAACAAGACAAUUAACCUAACCUUUACCUAAAAAAAUUUCUUAAAGUCGACCGACAUUCAUCUACCGUUUGUAAAUUUAUCUACGAUCUGUAAACUACAACAAAAUAAUAUAAUAGUAAUCACAAAGCUUCAAACAUGCAGCCGAAUCAAGUUAGAUGAAUAUCAAUCAUAUUUUCCCAAUAAGUAAACUGAUUUCUUCGGUAGUUUAACAUGCAUCUCAAUAUUUAUAGAAGUAUUUUAUUAAUAGAGUUCUAUUUUAGGAGUAUUUUUCUAUCCUAUUUUAGAAGUAUUUUUUAAUUGAUCACUACAAAGAAAAAUAUUAAUUGAUUCUCCUUCCAUAUAUUUUAGGAGUCUCAUAUAUUUUAAAAGUCUAGUUAAUAUAAUAAAAAUAAUUAAAUAAUAAAUUGAAGAAAAUAGUGAAAAAAUAAUUUUGUCUAAAGAAAGAUAUUUUAAUAAAGGACAAAAAGUUCUAAUUACUUUUCUACAGAUCUUCAUACUUUUAGUUAUAGAUAAAUUAGCCUUUGUGAUGUUUUUUUUUCUAUGGUUUGUUUUGUUUUUCUUUUUUCUUUCUUCUUUUUUUCUCCAUUUUCCCUCCACAUGUUUUCUUUUUUCCUUUUCAAUUCAAUUUAGUUUUCUUUCCAUUUAUGUAUUUUUUUUUAAUUCUCUUUUUUGCUUUGGACGUUUUUUUUUCUUGUUCUUUUCAAUUCAAAUCAACAUUAUUUUUUAUUUAUUUAAUUUAUUAAUAAACUACAUAUAAAGUAGGAUUUGAAUUGAUUUAGAACUUUAUUUUCUAACUCAAAUAAGGAUUUUAAUUAAUUUCAAAGUUCUAAUAUUAAUAAUAACUAAAUAAUAAUUUGAGAAAAAUAAUGAAAAGAUUCUGUCUAAAGAGGAGAUUUUUAAUGAAGGACAAAAAGUUUAAAUAACUCUAUAUUUCUCUUUAAUUUCUACAAACCUAUUCAAUUUCCUAAAAACUUAUUCAAACUUGAAGAUUCUUGUAAAAUAAAACACAUCAUGUCGAAUUUUUGCUAUAACUAUGAUUUCGUUUCUUUUCUUUUUAGUUGCUACUAUUUCUAUUCUAUGCAUAUUUUCUUAUCGUUUAAAUCAAAAAUUGAAUUGUUAAUGACUAAAAAUCAAUAAAUCAAAAACCGAUAAAAAAAUAACUUGUUGGUUUAAAUUAUUUAAAAAUCGAUAACCGAUAAACAAAAUCGAUAAUACAUAAAAUCGAAUCGGACUGACCGAUGCACAAUUAUUUUUCUUUUUAUAUUUAAAAUCUUUCCUUAUUUCGAACGUUAAAUCUUUACAAAAUCAUUGUUUUUAUUCUUAUUAUUUUUAAAACUUUUUAAAAAUAUGGUACUUCUUAAAUAUUUCUUAUUCUAAUGGUUUUGUAUUUAUUUCUAAAUUUAUCAAAUCUUCUUAAAAUUAAAUUUAAUUGAAUUAGAAUUUAAACUAAUGAAAAAAAGUAUUAGUUGCCAUCAAUUUUGAUGACUUCUAAUAAGGAACUUUUUUUCAUAAAUAUAUUUAAUUAAUUUUCAACACUUAAAUUAGGAAAAAAUAAUGAAAAAACAAAUUUGUCUAAUGCAAAGACUUUUAAUGAAGGACAAAAAGUUCAAAUAAGAUUUCUAAGGACAUUCAUCCUUUUAAUAUAUUAUAAAUAGAUAGAUUAUAAAUUAUAGAUAUAAAUUAUAGAUUAUAUAUAUAGAAUAUAAAUAUAAAUUAAAGAUUAUAGAUGUAGAUUAUAUCAUAGCUGACAAAGUGGCCUAUACGUUCAUUUUUGUCCUUCUUUCAUACUUCCUCCAUUCUAUAUUUAAUUGAUCAUUCUACCUACUGAAGAUAUUUUUUUUUCAUAUUAGUUGAACUCCUUAUUAAAAAUAAUUAUCUCAUAUUAAUUGAUCACCUUAAUAAAUCAAAAAAAUAUUAAUUAAAUUUUUCUCAUAUUAUUCUUAUAAUUAUUUAUUUUUAAAAGUGUUCAUACUUCAUUGUAAAUCUUCAAAAAGAAUUUAAAAAUAAAUUUAAUAAAAUUACCUUCUAAUUAUAAUUUCUUAACAUAUUUAUGAAAAAAUUGACCAACUAAUAUAAAAUGUUGGAAGUGCGAAAUUUAUUUGAAUACACAGAAUCAUUAUUUUAUCAUAACAUUGACUCAACACAACAGUCUUAAAAAAAUUGACUAUUGUUUCGUCGCUCUUCCCUGGAAGCAUCCAAAAGAUCAUCUUAUUAAAUUAAAAAAAUUAUUAAUUAAUUUUUUUAUAUUAUUUUUAUAAUUAAUUAUUUUUAAAAGUGUUCCUAUUUAAUUGUAAUCUUCGAAAAAAUUUAAAAAUAUAUUAAUAAAAUUACCUUCUAAUUAUAAAUUUUUAACAUAUUUAUAAAAAAAUUGAACAACUAAUAUGAAAUGUUGGGAGUAAUAAAUUUAUUUGAAUCCAGAAAAUCAUCUUUCUUUCAUAAUCAUAUGACCAUACUCCAACAAUCUAAAAAACAAUUGACUAUUGUUUCGUCCUCUUCUCUAGAAACAUCCAAAAGGUAUCUAAAUAUCUUUCUAUUCCUCCGCCCCACAUCUUUUAUUCUUUCAUAUUUUCUUUUCCAAUACUUCCAAGGAUAAAGUGAAUGAUAUUUUUAUAAAUAAACUAUCAAUUCUUAAAAAGAAUGUAUUGCAUAUUAUUUUUGAUAUUAUAAAUUAAAUAAUUAUUAAAUAAUAAUUUCAGAAUAAUUAAUCUCAAAAUUAAUUUUAAUAUAAUUAAUCUCAAUAUAACUAAUUCCAACAUAAUGUAUUUCCCUACUAAACACCCCUUGCAUUAGUAGUGAAAUAAGGAAGUAAGACAGAACUAGAAGAAAGAGUCAUUUUGGAAAACAAGUUAUCUUAGAAAUACUUAUUUGGGAUUAAUUAUUUUAAAAUUAGUUAUAUCACUCCUAAUAAGAGAUAAAAAUAACACUAUAAUUUUAAAAUAACUAAUUUCAGAAUGAGUUAUCUCAUGCAUUUUAUUUUAACCAAAUACAAAAUAAAUCUAUCCUAAAAUUAAUCUCAAAAUUAAUCAUCAUUUAUCCCUCCUACCAAACUAUCCAUAAGAUAUGUGAAAGACAUAAAUCACGUAUAAAAACAAUAAUUUCAAAAGAAGAAAAUAAGAGGUGAUAGUAAAUUGUAGAACAUGAAGCUCCAAAAAAGUGCACGGAGGAGUCUAAGAAGUUGUGAGACCUCAACAACGAAGGCGGACAAGAUCGAAAUGAACAAAGUGUACAAACACCAAAUAUAUAUAGAUGUAGUGUUAUAUAAAAUGGUCAAGAUCAAUGAGGCCACUAUGUUUGAAGAAGCUUUAAAGAAAAGGAAUUGGGUAAUCCAACAGGUUGAUAUACUCAAAGGGCAUGGACAUAAUGAUGCUUGCAAGAGUUCCAAGGAAUUGCUUAAACUGAACAGCAAAGAACAAAUUAAGUUGGUGUUGAGGGGAGUGUUGUAAAUUCAUCAUCAAUUUAAUUAAUAUUUAAGACAUGUGAAAGAAGAAUCUAGAAG
Molecule: long non-coding RNA, 5392 nt
Filed under: Capsicum annuum
Lineage: Eukaryota; Viridiplantae; Streptophyta; Magnoliopsida; Solanales; Solanaceae
Description: long non-coding RNA (CANN_LNC002137)
Source: RNAcentral